CAACCUCAUGCCAAGGAUUAACAAAACCAAGAAGUUGUCCAUCCUGAUUUCUGUGGUGGUGAUACUCUUGGCCAUUAUCUUCAUUGGAGCCACUCUAAUUUAAGUCCGUAUCGCUCAGGAAUACACUGAAAGGGCAGGUGUUCCAGUUCCAUUCUCCUGAAUAUAGAAUGGGAUAUUUAUCCCCUGAGCAUUGAAAUUUCCUGAACUUCAGCCACAAGCUUUUGAGUGAAAAAUCUGUCAUCAAAGGCACCAUCAAGGCUGGUAAACCACAUAAUUGGCUGGACUUUCCAAAAUUCCUGCCCUUGGAAAUCUUAGCUGCAAAGCUGGUGUUUCAGGAAGAAGUGUUUUGUUGUGAAGAUGGAGAAGGUUGCAGUGCCCAGCCUGACUGAAGUUGCCCAGAGAAUUGAGAACUUCAACACACAGGAGGACAACAGCUUGUCCUACAGCUUCCUUGAGGGGCCGAUGACAGAUUGCACAGUUCUAGGAAAGCCCCUGAACAGUCUGUGUAGCGAUAUCCCAUCUACCUGACUGAGGUUCCUGAAUUGAAGCAACCAUCAAUCUGCUGGGUCCCACCAAUUGUGUCGUCUUCUUUCUGUGUCUAGUUGUCGCUGGGUGUGAUUUUAAACCAUUCUCCAUUCUGCGCCCAGCCAGUUGGAACUUACAGGAAGUCACAAAUAUCAGCAUCUUUCAUCUUCCCACAUCUUGUUUUCUCUCCUCUCGUUCAU
Molecule: long non-coding RNA, 725 nt
Organism: Alligator sinensis (Chinese alligator)
Lineage: Eukaryota; Metazoa; Chordata; Crocodylia; Alligatoridae
Exons: 6
Source: RefSeq, a predicted model, not a curated record